This 128-nucleotide microRNA precursor is filed under the name Fukomys damarensis (Damara mole-rat). Its description in RNAcentral is "miRNA (ENSFDAG00000003952.1)". The record is from RNAcentral. Lineage: Eukaryota; Metazoa; Chordata; Mammalia; Rodentia; Bathyergidae.
GGUCUCACUAUGUAGUUGAGACUGACCCGGAACUCACUAUGUAGCCCAGGCUGGUCUCGAACUCACAGCAUUCCUCCUGCCUCAGCCUCCCGAGUGCUGGGAUUACAGACAUACACCCACCACACCCG